CUCCUUACGGGAGGCAGCAGUGGGGCAUUUGGGACACUGCGCGCGAGCGUGAUCCAGCAAUGCCGCGUGAGUGAAGAAGCCAUUCGGGGUGUAAAGCUCUUUUUUCAGGGAAGAAACGGUAGAGUCUAAUAUCCUAUGCUAAUGACGGUACGAGAAGAAUAAGCACGGGCUAACUACGUCCCAGCAGCCGCGGUAAUACGUAGGGCGCAAGCGUUAAUGGGAUUUUCUGGGUGUAAAGCGUGUGCAGGCGGUUUUGUAUGUCUGACGUGAAAUCCCCGGUCUCACCCUGGGAAUCGCGUUGGAGACUGCAAGUCUAGAAUCUGGCAGAGGGGGGUAGAAUUCCACGUGUAGCAGUGAAAUGUGUAGAGAUGGGGAGGAACCCCGAUGGAGAAGGCUGCCCCCUGGGUCAAGAUUCACGCUCAUGCACGAAAGCGUGGGGAGCAAACAGGAUUAGAUACCAGGGUAGUCCACGCCCUAAACGAUGUCUAGUAGUAGUCGGGUUCUAAUUCACUUGGUAACGCAGCUAACGCGUGAAGUAGACCGCGUGGGAUUGU
This 554-nucleotide ribosomal RNA is filed under the name uncultured beta proteobacterium. RNAcentral describes it as "bacterial SSU rRNA". It matches the Rfam family "Bacterial small subunit ribosomal RNA", at positions 335 to 883 of the family's 1533-position model. The record is from RNAcentral. Lineage: Bacteria; Pseudomonadati; Pseudomonadota; Betaproteobacteria.